GCUCGGAAAUGUUGGGAUCUCUA
RNAcentral lists this non-coding RNA (23 nucleotides) under Arabidopsis thaliana (thale cress). The record is from RNAcentral. Lineage: Eukaryota; Viridiplantae; Streptophyta; Magnoliopsida; Brassicales; Brassicaceae.